RNAcentral lists this ribosomal RNA (440 nucleotides) under uncultured bacterium. RNAcentral describes it as "bacterial SSU rRNA". It matches the Rfam family "Bacterial small subunit ribosomal RNA", at positions 338 to 795 of the family's 1533-position model. The record is from RNAcentral.
CCUACGGGAGGCAGCAGUGGGGAAUAUUGGACAAUGGGCGCAAGCCUGAUCCAGCAAUUCCGCGUGGGUGAAGAAGGUCUUCGGAUUGUAAAGCCCUUUCGACAGGGACGAUGAUGACGGUACCUGUAGAAGAAGCCCCGGCUAACUUCGUGCCAGCAGCCGCGGUAAUACGAAGGGGGCUAGCGUUGCUCGGAAUUACUGGGCGUAAAGGGCGCGUAGGCGGCGGUGUUAGUCAGGCGUGAAAUUCCUGGGCUCAACCUGGGGACUGCGCUUGAUACGGCAUUGCUUGAGGAUGGAAGAGGCUCGCGGAAUUCCCAGUGUAGAGGUGAAAUUCGUAGAUAUUGGGAAGAACACCGGUGGCGAAGGCGGCGAGCUGGUCCAUUACUGACGCUGAGGCGCGACAGCGUGGGGAGCAAACAGGAUUAGAUACCCUAGUAGUC